Mauremys mutica (yellowpond turtle) is the source of this 2489-nucleotide long non-coding RNA. RefSeq lists it as uncharacterized. The record is from RefSeq and is a predicted model, not a curated record. NCBI's taxonomy places the organism in Eukaryota, Metazoa, Chordata, Testudines, Geoemydidae. The transcript is spliced from 3 exons.
UUAAAUCUCAGUGUGAUAGAUAUGCUUGCUUUGAUCUGGUUAGCUCUUGGAAGUCCUGGGGCUCCACUGGGCUGCUGGCCCAGUGCUGCCUGGGGUCCCUAGGGACAGCUCUGUCCACCAUUAGGGAAUUUUUUCCUGAGAACCCCCUGUAACAUUUCGUGAAACCCCAGGGGGUCACGAACCCCAGUUUGGGAACCACUGGGCUAAUGUGUUUGGUUUUGUGCCAUUAGAAAGUUGGCAAACCUAGUCUGCUGUAGGAAAUGCUAUUAAACAUAUUCUGGCUGUGAUAAAUUGUAAAAUAGGCAGACAAAAGUGCACUUAAAAGAUCUGAUGGUGUCACAGCUGACAGCUUCAGGGAUGUGCAUGUUUGGUAGCUGAAGGAUUUUGUUUAAUAACUUAGUUUUCUCAGUUUGACAUGUCCUCCCAUAGCUGGCAACUGUAACUAGUCAUAGAAAAGACAAAAGUGCACUUAGAAGUACCCCAAGACAGUGGUUUUCAACCUUUUUUUCAUUUGCAGACCCUUAAAUAUUUUCAGAUGGAGGUGCAUACCCCUUUGGAAAUCUUAGACAUAGUCUGUGUGGACCCUGCAGGGAUCCACAGGUCACAAGUUGAAAACCACUGCCUUAAGAUGUUGAAGCAGCACCAAUAUGGUAGAAGUUAAGGAUCCUAUGGCAUUUUACAUAAAAUGGGUGACAAGCUCAGGGUCCCAACCACCAUUACCUCUGUCAGCAAAUCCAGUUUUGCUAUAUCAACAGCACUUAGGUAUAUUCUAUUGGUAUUUAACACUAAGAAAGAGCAAACACCAACUAUAAACUCAAGGAAUAGAAUUUAUACUCACAAAUAACCUGCUGAUACAGAGACAUGAGUACUAAGCCAUAUUUACAUUAUAGAGAUAUUUCACUGUAAUUUCUCAAAAAUAUGCAUAAUAUAAAUUAAAAGCAUAACUCCUGCUGUUACAGCAUGCAUUCAACAACCACUUAUAGUCUCUUGCUUUCCAGUUGAUUCUCCACUGAUUUAUCUGAAGUGGUACACUUAAGUUAUGAAAGAAAGAGAAGCAAAGUAGAAAGGAGCAUAAUUGUGGUUUCUGAAAGUCAGGGAAUCCUCUAGUCCCCUCCUCCACCACAAACAUUAAAUAUUAAGAAUAGUUGCUUCUAAUAAUAAUAAAGCAAAUUUUCUAAGGUCUAGAAGACUCAACAAUUUUUUGAACCCCCAAUUGUUGGUCAGCUGUCAACACAAACUAACAAAAGACAAUGUUUAAAAGAGGUCAUACACUAUUUUUAUUCCUUUGUAGAUCUCUCUAAAGAUUCUGGGGCUGAGUUUUCCCAUGUGUAACAUGCACUGGCAUGAAGCUUAAUACUUUGUUUAGCCACCAGCUUUUGGGGGAUUGCCCCAUUCUUUGCAGUUCACCCUAGUUGAGUGACCACAGCUGGCUCCCCACUAGGACUCUGGACACAAAAGCACUUUGGGAUCCUCAAGGAGAAGACACUAUGUAACUUUAAAUUACAAACAAUGUUGUUUGCUUUUUAGGAAAUGCCUUGAACAGGUGUAAAUUGAGUACAUUCUUCUUUUUUUGGGGCGGGGGCGGGAGAAGUGUCCCUUCAAUAAGAGAUUACUCAUUUUGUGCAGUAACUGCAGUCCUUCAAGAUAUUUUUCUCUAUGGGUGCUCCACUUCAGGUGUGCAUGUGCCUGUCGAGCCCUUGAGCAGAGAUUGUCAGUUAGCAGUAUCUGUUUGGCCUGCUCAUGUGCCCUAUGCCUCCUUGUGCUGGAUACUGAGACUAUUCAGGGAUGUGCGGGCAGCCCCCCCCCCCCAGUUCCUUGUCCAACCAAACAUUCCCUAAGGAACAGGCCAAAGCAGAGGGGAAGGAGGCCAGGUAGUGGGGUACCCAAUAGGUAUGCAGAUCUCAAAGAACCACAGUCAAUGCAUAAAGUGAGUAACCUCAACUUCCCUAUGCAUUCUCCAUUUCAGGUGACUUCUGAGCAGUAUUCCCAGAUGCAAGAGAAAGCUUCAGAAUAGAGUCCAGAAGUAAAGACAGUAUUGCAGAACCAAAGUGCUGCAUUGGAUCUGACAGUAUGGGUCAAGGCCUAAUGUUUCUCAAACAGAUAUAAUCCAGGAUGUCUGAAAGUGGCACCAAAUCAAGCAGGAGGCAGCGAUGACACCACCAAUAGGUUGUGGAAGUUGCCGGUGCUUGCAGCUGUUGCUGCUCCUGGACCCCUCUCUCUCCUCAGCAAUACUCUUUUCAGAAUUAAACUGGUGUUUUUUCUUCUAGAGCGAUAAACAACGGUUGGGAGUUAUUCUGUCCAGCAAGUCUUCUGUCCUCUUGGGCAGCUUUCCAAUAUCUCUCUCAGCUGUCUCAUUCAAUUGCUUUAUAUAUACUCGUGGGGGAAUUCUGCACCAAAAAAAUUAAAAAUUUUGCAAAAUUCUGCAUAUUUUAUUUGUAAAAAUAACACAAUAUAAUUACACUAGCUUCAAUUAUUUUGGUAAUUUACUU